AUUGAACGCUAGCGGGAUGCUUUACACAUGCAAGUCGAACGAGUGGCGGACGGGUGAGUAAUAUAUCGUAACGUGCCCAGUAGCGGGGGAUAACUACUCGAAAGAGUGGCUAAUACCGCCUACUCUUGGAGCGGCCGAUGUCGGAAUAGCUAGUGGGUGGGGUAAAGGCUCACCACGGCAAAGAUCCGUAGCUGGUUUGAGAGGACGACCAGCAAAUCUGGAACUCAGACACGGCCCAGACUCCGACGGGAGGCAGCAUUGGGGAAUAUUGCACAAUGGUCGAAAGCCUGAUUCACCCAGGCCGCGUGUGUGAGACGGCCCUCGGGUUGUAAAGUACUUUCAGGCGGGAGGCGUUACCGACAGAAGAAGCACCGGCUAACUCCGUGCCAGCAGCCGCGGUAAUUC
This 405-nucleotide ribosomal RNA is filed under the name uncultured bacterium. Its description in RNAcentral is "partial 16S ribosomal RNA". It matches the Rfam family "Bacterial small subunit ribosomal RNA", at positions 30 to 526 of the family's 1533-position model. The record is from RNAcentral.